Mobula hypostoma (lesser devil ray) is the source of this 404-nucleotide long non-coding RNA. RefSeq lists it as uncharacterized. Lineage: Eukaryota; Metazoa; Chordata; Chondrichthyes; Myliobatiformes; Myliobatidae. The record is from RefSeq and is a predicted model, not a curated record. The transcript is spliced from 3 exons.
UGACGCCAAAGGGGACGCACAGGAAUUGAUAAAGCCUGUCGUCCACCUCGAAGGCAGUGUAAGGGCAGUCCUCCCGGCGGAUGGGGAGCUGAUGAAUUCAGCGUUUCAUGCAGUAGGGAGUUUCCUGAGCCUUUGAGAUGGAUGGCUUGGAGAGGGAGGAGACUGGAAGCAUUCUCUGCAAACUCUGGAGUCUGUUGUGCGUGAAAAUCCCAGGAGAUCAGCAGUUUCCGAGAUACUCAAAUCACCCCAUCUGGCACCAACAAACAUUCCACGAUCAAAACCACUUAGGUCAUAUUUCCUCCUUGUUCUGAUGUUUGGCCUGAACAACAAUGAACCUCUUGACCAUGUCCGCAUGCUUUUAUGCAUUGAGUUGCUGCUACAUGAUUGACUGAUUAGAUAUUUGC